Molecule: small nuclear RNA, 116 nt
Organism: Oryctolagus cuniculus (rabbit)
Lineage: Eukaryota; Metazoa; Chordata; Mammalia; Lagomorpha; Leporidae
Gene: U5
Rfam family: U5 spliceosomal RNA
About the family: U5 RNA is a component of both types of known spliceosome. The precise function of this molecule is unknown, though it is known that the 5' loop is required for splice site selection and p220 binding, and that both the 3' stem-loop and the Sm site are important for Sm protein binding and cap methylation.
Source: Ensembl
AUGCUUUGCUUUCCCUUCAGAUUGUACAAAUCUUCCCCCUUUCACUAAAGAUUUCUGUGGAGAGGAACUACUCUGAGUUUUAAGCCAAUUUUUUGAGACCAUUCUUUGGCAAGGAU